GACAGAAGAUGGGGGAUGAGCAGCAUGCACGGUCUUCUCCCUAUGGCUCACUCUCUCUUACUGUGCUGGGCGCUUGCUUCCUCUCCUGCUGUCCUUGGGAGGCAGACUCCAGGUUCUUCAGCCCCAGCCUGCCCCUGGGGCUCUCGGGCCUUGGAGGACUGACUAGGAGCACACUGCGGGCCUCUCUGGUUUGGGGGCCUGGGACGUGGCGAAGCCCUGCGGCUUCUGUGCGGCCUGUUCUGGGCGUUGCGGUGAAACGCCAGCCAGUUCCCCAAGUAAGCUCCCUGCACACACGCCUGAUAGCCUGUUGGUUCCAUCCUUCUGCGGGAUUUUCACUACCACUCUCUAACUCACACACAGCUGAGAGAGUAUACGGGAGAGAUGAAGCAGUCCACUCCAAGAAUAUUGUCAUCCUACCGAUUACGAGUCCCCCUGGGAUUACAAGAGUGUUGAAGAAAUAUUGUGACACAUCAGAACACCGCGAAAUACAUAGACACUUUCAAAUCAUGGAAGACUCUCAAGAAGAAACUUUAGAAGGAAACAGGAAUAUUCAAUGGACUCCCAAGACAAGAACGUAGAUGUAUAUCAGAAGCUGAUCACUGAAGCUGCUACUAGAGUCUCCCCGAGCCCUUAUUGGAUUCUCACUUCAGGAGCUGCUUUCAUUAUUUUGCCUCUCAGUUUCAAAAUAGACAAAGAACUCAACACUCAACAAUAAGAAAAUGAACAACCUGGUUGAAAAAUGGGCCAAAGACCUUAACAGACACCUCACCAAAGAUGAUAAACUGGUAGGAAAUAAACAUAUAAAAAGAUGCUCCACAUCAGAUGUCAUCAGAAAAGUGCAAUUAAAACAACGAGACACCACUAUGCAUCUCCUAGAAUGACCAAAACCCAGAACACUGACACCAAAUACUCUUGAGGAUGUGGAGCAAUUCUCAUUGCUGAUGGGAAUGCAAAAUGGUACAGUCUUUUGGAAGACAGCUUGGAGAUUUCUUAUAAAGCUAAACUUGGAUUUACCAUACCAUCUACCAGUGGUGCUGCUUGGUAUUUACCCCGUGGAGCAGAAAAUGUACGUCCCCACAGAAAAACAAGCACAUGGAGGCUUACAGAAGUUUUACACAUAAUUUCCAAGACUUGGAAGCAACCAAGAUGUCCUUCAGUCAGUGAAUGGAAGAACAAACUGUGGAACAUCCAGACCAUGGAAUAUUAUUCAGUGCUGAAAAGAAAUGGGCUAAGAAAGCCAUAAAAAGACAUGGAGGAAAAAAUGUUCAACACCAAGACUGAACCCUAAUGUAACCUGUGGGCUUUGGAUGAUAAUGAUGCAUGAAUGCAAGUCAUAAAUUUGGAAAAAUGUACCUCUCCUGGGAAGGAGUUGAUAAUGAAGUCAGGGGGGCAUCUUUCUCGGCUCUUCACUGUGAGAACCCUGUGGAAUUCCUGAAGAUGAAAUCAUGAACGCGUGGGAGUCUUGCUAAAACUGCAGCAUUCGAGAGGUUUUCACUCAUGCUUGCUCACACUUAUCCUCUAGCAAUUCAUCAAAAUUACCACGACAAAGAAAAGAGACAUGCAAGUAUGACAGAAAAUACUACACACUACCAGGACAUUGAAACUGAAGGUGUGAACAACAGAGAAAAGAGAGGGUAAAGAAAAGGAAAACAAAGGAGACGUGGGAUAUGAAAGGUGUGUGCCAUGUGUGGACAUCAAGAAACGUUUUGGCUCCCACUUCUGCCACCAGUUGAGCCUGGAACCUCACUACUUGGAGUUGAGGGGAGGGUAGUGCUCAUUCAUCAUCUGUGAAAAUAGGGAUUGAGAGUUCCCUAACUUUGCCAUUUUUCCUCAAGCACUGGCAUUGGUUUUCUGAAUGUCAGGCUCUGUGUAGGUGAGUCCUCAGCUGAGCCACAGGCUCUGCAUUCCUUGCAGUCCACACACUUCAUAUCCUUUGUUUAUGCUGCUCAUUUUGGAAUUCAAACAGGUUGGUGGGGCACAUUUCAACAGAUAAUGACACACACUGACUGCUCAUGAGCUAUUUUAUGGUGUGAGAAUGUUGUGAUGUUAUGAAAUAGGAAGGCAUCGAAACAUGGGGACGUUUUCUAGAAGAUCCUUAGCAAAGGGUACAGAAGAUUAAGGUCCAAAUCUUUGAAAUGAUGUUUUCCAAAUUAUUGCACAGCUAUGUCAAACAAAAUACCUUGAUCCGGUUAAUGUUUACAAACAAAAAAAUAUGAAAUGUUAUUUUCUAGGUAUGGGUAGUAGUAGAUUUGUUGUGUAGUGGAGAUUACUUAGGAAGAAUAAAUUUCAACUUUACCAAGAAAGUACUAGAUUAAUUGCAUUAGGAAAUUGUGAAUUGCACUAGGAAAAUGCUCAUUCUUCUUUCAAUAACCAAUAUCUGGAUACUAUACUCUCUUGAAUUUCUAGGAUUUGCACCUGUCAUUCUAUAAUUAGCUUUCCAGUUUAUUGAAUGAUUUACUUCACAUACAAAUAUUUUCUAAUAUAUUCCGUGUAAAACAAUUUUAAAAAUUAAACAUUUCUCUAAUUACACAUUCCUCCCUAGCUGAUACAAUUUCAUUUAUUUGCUUACUUUCCUGGCCAGACAUUCAGAAAUUUUUUACUCAUAUUGUCUUCAACUGCAUAUUUGCCAUUUUCUAGCUUUUAUUUUAUUUUUAUAUCCAUUUUGUUCUAGGUGUGGAAAUUGCUAAGUGUAGAGCUUAAUAAUUUUUCACCAAAAAGAUAUGUGUCUAACUCCCUCAUGAAGAAGUAGUAUGUUACCAACACUCCCAAAUUUCCUUUGAUGUUAAAAAGCGUUAUUUUUCUCAAGAGUCUUUUUUUGUAUCGGUAUGAUAUAUAAACGAAAUCAUAUACACAUUUAUUUUUUCAUUUAGAUACUUUCCUUCAGUAUUACGAUUGAGACAUUAACCUCAGUUUAAGUAUUUAUGUCAUUUUCAUUGCUAGUUCAUUGUAAGAAGCAUACCUUUUAUUUAUCUAUUCCCUUAAUAAAUAUUCCUGUUUCCAGUGUUAGACUAAUGCAAAUAAGGCUGUCGUGAGCAUUCUUUCACAUGUUUUUCAAUGUACAAAUAUACGCUGAGAGAGGAAUUACUGAAUCACAGGAAGUAAUAUAUGCAGCUAUAAUAGAUAUUAACAUAUCCACCAAAUGUUUAGCGUUUCCUGUUUCAUUUUAUUCACUGUGGGGGAUGUAUAGAGAUUUCACAUUACAUUAUAAUUUAAUUUCUCUAAUGUCUAAUGAUGGGGAGCACCUUUUUCAUAUUUUUAUUGUCAAUUUGGCUAUCUUCUUUUUCUAAAUGCAUGUUCAAGUAUUUCAUCCAUUUUUAUUGGUCUUCCUUUUUUACUGGUUUAAAUGAAUUCUUUAUAUAUUACGGAUAUGAGCUCUUUGUCAAUUUUAUGUGUAUGCUUGUAUUCACUCCUAGUUCACUCUGCAGCUUGCUUUUUAUUUUUAUGCUUUUAAUAAUGAACAUAAUUUCUUGAUUCUAAUAAAUAUCAUUAUUUUU
Molecule: long non-coding RNA, 3494 nt
Filed under: Pongo abelii (Sumatran orangutan)
Lineage: Eukaryota; Metazoa; Chordata; Mammalia; Primates; Hominidae
Description: lincRNA
Source: RNAcentral